RNAcentral lists this transfer RNA (75 nucleotides) under Apolemichthys kingi (tiger angelfish). RNAcentral's name for it is "tRNA-Lys". It matches the Rfam family "tRNA". Rfam says of the family: Transfer RNA (tRNA) molecules are approximately 80 nucleotides in length. Their secondary structure includes four short double-helical elements and three loops (D, anti-codon, and T loops). The record is from RNAcentral. Lineage: Eukaryota; Metazoa; Chordata; Actinopteri; Pomacanthidae.
CACUGAGAAGCUUAAAAGGGACGAAGCGCUAGCCUUUUAAGCUAGAAACUGGUGGCCCCCAACCACCCCCAGUGA